GGGGGCGAUACGGUUUCGACGGGAAUUCUGAGAUCGAAGGUUGCAUGUCGUGGACAUCACUAUCACGUUAAACAGUGGUAAAAAAAUAAAAGCUAACGAUUACGAUUACGCUUUAGCGGCUUAAACCCCGCUCCGCUUAGACCGUGGAUGCCUGUUAGACGGUCGGGCGUAAACAAACAGGCUGGUGAGGUGAGUUCUUUGGUUGGCUCUCUCAUAAGACUUAAACCGAUAGUCAUGACUGAAUUCGUCUUCUGAUGCUUUCAUGGUGAAAUUAAAGAGAAGACUAAACAUGUAGUAGCUUUCCUUUGACGGUUUUCGGACGCGGGUUCGACUCCCGCCGCCUCCACCA
Molecule: transfer-messenger RNA, 349 nt
Filed under: Nitrospinota
Lineage: Bacteria; Pseudomonadati
Also listed under: 1 other name
Description: JADGAW01 sp015231815 Standard tmRNA
Rfam family: transfer-messenger RNA
About the family: Bacterial tmRNA, also known as 10Sa RNA or SsrA, is named for its dual tRNA and mRNA-like properties. Its role is to liberate the mRNA from a stalled ribosome.
Source: RNAcentral